UCUCACGGUCGCGAUGGUACAAGCGGCGUGAUGGCGCCAUGAACCCUCGGCCCCUUGCUGAGGUGUUCGAUGCGCGCGCUGAGCCGCCUGCUCCUGGUCUUCUUCGCCCUGCUCUUCGUGUCGUCCUCUGCGUUCGCACAGACCCUGAGAGAGUUUAUCCUCGUCAUCGGCGAGGAUGACCAGCUCGACGAGCCCAGCCUACGCCUCGCCCUCAGCCUCGCUGACGCCACCGCUGAGCGAGUCGUUGACA
Molecule: ribosomal RNA, 250 nt
Filed under: uncultured archaeon
Lineage: Archaea
Description: partial 16S ribosomal RNA
Source: RNAcentral